UACGUAGGGCGCAAGCGUUGUCCGGAAUCAUUGGGCGUAAAGAGCUCGUAGGCGGCCUGUUGCGUCCGCUGUGAAAUCCCGGGGCUUAACCCCGGGCGUGCAGUGGAUACGGGCUGGCUGGAGGCAGGCAGGGGAGAACGGAAUUCCCGGUGUAGCGGUGAAAUGCGUAGAGAUCCGGAAGAACACCGACGGCGAAGGCAGCGUCCUGGCCGAGCACUGACGCUCAGGCACGAAAGCGCGGGGAGCGAACAGG
Molecule: ribosomal RNA, 253 nt
Filed under: uncultured bacterium
Lineage: Bacteria
Description: partial 16S ribosomal RNA
Rfam family: Bacterial small subunit ribosomal RNA
Source: RNAcentral